RNAcentral lists this ribosomal RNA (429 nucleotides) under Pseudomonadota bacterium. RNAcentral's name for it is "Proteobacteria bacterium partial 16S ribosomal RNA". It matches the Rfam family "Bacterial small subunit ribosomal RNA", at positions 355 to 776 of the family's 1533-position model. The record is from RNAcentral. Lineage: Bacteria; Pseudomonadati; Pseudomonadota.
UGGGGAAUAUUGGACAAUGGGCGAAAGCCUGAUCCAGCCAUGCCGCGUGUGUGAAGAAGGUCUUCGGAUUGUAAAGCACUUUAAGUUGGGAGGAAGGGCAGUAAGCGAAUACCUUGCUGUUUUGACGUUACCGACAGAAUAAGCACCGGCUAACUCUGUGCCAGCAGCCGCGGUAAUACAGAGGGUGCAAGCGUUAAUCGGAAUUACUGGGCGUAAAGCGCGCGUAGGUGGUUCGUUAAGUUGAAUGUGAAAGCCCCGGGCUCAACCUGGGAACUGCAUCCGAAACUGGCGAGCUAGAGUAGGGCAGAGGGUGGUGGAAUUUCCUGGGUAGCGGUGAAAUGCGUAGAUAUAGGAAGGAACACCAGGGGCGAAGGCGACCACCUGGGCUCAUACUGACACUGAGGUGCGAAAGCGUGGGGAGCAAACAGG